This 202-nucleotide ribosomal RNA is filed under the name uncultured bacterium. RNAcentral's name for it is "partial 16S ribosomal RNA". It matches the Rfam family "Bacterial small subunit ribosomal RNA", at positions 524 to 725 of the family's 1533-position model. The record is from RNAcentral.
UACGGAGGGUGCGAGCGUUGUCCGGAAUCAUUGGGCGUAAAGGGCGCGUAGGUGGCCCGGUCAGUUCGUGGUGAAAGCGCGGGGCUCAACCCUGCGUCGGCCAUGAAUACUGCCGCGGCUGGAGCACUGUAGAGGCAGGCGGAAUUCCGGGUGUAGCGGUGGAAUGCGUAGAGAUCCGGAAGAACACCGGUGGCGAGGCGGC